RNAcentral lists this ribosomal RNA (572 nucleotides) under uncultured bacterium. RNAcentral's name for it is "partial 16S ribosomal RNA". It matches the Rfam family "Bacterial small subunit ribosomal RNA", at positions 355 to 920 of the family's 1533-position model. The record is from RNAcentral.
UGGGGAAUUUUGGACAAUGGGCGAAAGCCUGAUCCAGCAAUGCCGCGUGUGUGAAGAAGGCCUUCGGGUUGUAAAGCACUUUUGUCCGGAAAGAAAUCCUUGGCUCUAAUACAGUCGGGGGAUGACGGUACCGGAAGAAUAAGCACCGGCUAACUACGUGCCAGCAGCCGCGGUAAUACGUAGGGUGCAAGCGUUAAUCGGAAUUACUGGGCGUAAAGCGUGCGCAGGCGGUUUGCUAAGACCGAUGUGAAAUCCCCGGGCUCAACCUGGGAACUGCAUUGGUGACUGGCAGGCUAGAGUAUGGCAGAGGGGGGUAGAAUUCCACGUGUAGCAGUGAAAUGCGUAGAGAUGUGGAGGAAUACCGAUGGCGAAGGCAGCCCCCUGGGCCAAUACUGACGCUCAUGCACAAAAGCGUGGGGAGCAAACAGGAUUAGAUACCCUGGUAGUCCACGCCCUAAACGAUGUCAACUAGUUGUUGGGGAUUCAUUUCCUUAGUAACGUAGCUAACGCGUGAAGUUGACCGCCUGGGGAGUACGGUCGCAAGAUUAAAACUCAAAGGAAUUGACGGGGUC